Oryctolagus cuniculus (rabbit) is the source of this 108-nucleotide small nuclear RNA. The record is from Ensembl. NCBI's taxonomy places the organism in Eukaryota, Metazoa, Chordata, Mammalia, Lagomorpha, Leporidae.
GUGCUCGCUUUGGCAGCACAUAUACUAAAAUUGGAAUGAUACAGAGAAGAUUAGCAUGGCCCCUGCGCAAGGAUGACACGCAAGAAUGAAUAAGUGACUAAGAGACAA